Molecule: ribosomal RNA, 905 nt
Filed under: uncultured bacterium
Lineage: Bacteria
Description: bacterial SSU rRNA
Rfam family: Bacterial small subunit ribosomal RNA
Source: RNAcentral
UNGGAAUUACUGGGCGUAAAGCGGGCGCAGACGGUUACUUAAGCAGGAUGUGAANUCCCCGGGCUCAACCUGGGAACUGCGUUNUGAACUGGGUGACUAGAGUGUGUCAGAGGGAGGUAGAAUUCCACGUGUAGCAGUGAAAUGCGUAGAGAUGUGGAGGAAUACCGAUGGCGAAGGCAGCCUCCUGGGAUAACACUGACGUUCAUGCCCGAAAGCGUGGGUAGCAAACAGGAUUAGAUACCCUGGUAGUNCACGCCCUAAACGAUGUCGAUUAGCUGUUGGGCAGCAUGACUGCUUGGUAGCGAAGCUAACGCGUGAAAUCGACCGCCUGGGGAGUAUGGUCGCAAGAUUAAAACUCAAAGGAAUUGACGGGGACCCGCACAAGCGGUGGAUGAUGUGGAUUAAUUCGAUGCAACGCGAAGAACCUUACCUGGUCUUGACAUGUACGGAACCCUCCAGAGACGGAGGGGUGCCUUCGGGAGCCGUAACACAGGUGCUGCAUGGCUGUCGUCAGCUCGUGUCGUGAGAUGUUGGGUUAAGUCCCGCAACGAGCGCAACCCUUGUCAUUAGUUGCCAUCAUUAAGUUGGGCACUCUAAUGAGACUGCCGGUGACAAGCCGGAGGAAGGUGGGGAUGACGUCAAGUCCUCAUGGCCCUUAUGACCAGGGCUUCACACGUCAUACAAUGGUCGGUACAGAGGGUAGCCAAGCCGCGAGGUGGAGCCAAUCUCACAAAACCGAUCGUAGUCCGGAUUGCACUCUGCAACUCGAGUGCAUGAAGUCGGAAUCGCUAGUAAUCGCAGGUCAGCAUACUGCGGUGAAUACGUUCCCGGGUCUUGUACACACCGCCCGUCACACCAUGGGAGUGGGGGAUACCAGAAGUAGGUAGGGUAACCGCAAGGAGCCC